CUGAGCUCUCUCCUUCUCAGCCGCCGAAACCACUUUGACAAAGGCUCUAUGUGCGCCAUUGCCAAACCUCUCUCAGCCAAACCUACCUCUCUCUCAGCCUUCCUCUCUCUCAUCCUCUCUGACAGAGGCUCUGUCCAAGCCAAUCCUCUCUGCGCAAAACCUCCUCUCAGGAAAACCUCUCUAUCAACCGCGCCUCUGUCAUCCCGCACCUCUGUCAGCCUCCGUUUCUCUCUGAGCCGCCACCUCUCUCAGUCGCCGCCAUCACAGGUCAGAUUGUCUCUUUUUUUCUUUUUCUUUUCUUCUUUUCCCCCUUCGAAUCUAUGGCUAACUCUAUAUGUGUGCAAUUCGCAGAUUCAGCAUAGCAGUUCGCAGCCAACUCUUCAUUUUAUUUACCUCUUUUUCUCUCUGUUAGGUAUGAUUCGCCAUAAACUAUUUGAGAAUUUGAGUUUCUUUGUUAUGCUGCCAAGUUUAGUUUAUUUCUCCACCUAGCUGGCGUG
RNAcentral lists this long non-coding RNA (497 nucleotides) under Prunus persica (peach). RNAcentral describes it as "long non-coding RNA (PPER_LNC006988)". The record is from RNAcentral. Lineage: Eukaryota; Viridiplantae; Streptophyta; Magnoliopsida; Rosales; Rosaceae.